Non-coding RNA from Paramuricea clavata, 103 nucleotides. The record is from the annotation of a GenBank genome assembly. NCBI's taxonomy places the organism in Eukaryota, Metazoa, Cnidaria, Anthozoa, Malacalcyonacea, Plexauridae.
AUUUUGUUUGUGGAAACACCACGUAAAUUUAUUACUGCAAUAAUAAAUAAAAAAUAAUAAUUUAUUACUGCAGUAAUAAAUUUACGUGGUGUUUCCACAAACA